UCGCCCUUAGAGUUUGAUUUUCGCUCAAGACGAACGCUGGCGGCGUGCUUAACACAUGCAAGUCGAACGGAGCACCCCUGAAGGAGUUUUCGGACAACGGAAGGGAAUGCUUAGUGGCGGACUGGUGAGUAACGCGUGAGGAACCUGCCUUUCGGAGGGGGACAACAGUUGGAAACGACUGCUAAUACCGCAUGAUAUAUUGAUGUCGCAUGGCAUUGAUAUCAAAGAUUUAUCGCCGAAAGAUGGCCUCGCGUCUGAUUAGCUAGUUGGUGAGGUAACGGCCCACCAAGGCGACGAUCAGUAGCCGGACUGAGAGGUUGGCCGGCCACAUUGGGACUGAGAUACGGCCCAGACUCCUACGGGAGGCAGCAGUGGGGAAUAUUGGGCAAUGGACGCAAGUCUGACCCAGCAACGCCGCGUGAAGGAAGAAGGCUUUCGGGUUGUAAACUUCUUUUAAAGGGGAAGAGCACAAGA
RNAcentral lists this ribosomal RNA (474 nucleotides) under uncultured bacterium. Its description in RNAcentral is "bacterial SSU rRNA". It matches the Rfam family "Bacterial small subunit ribosomal RNA", at positions 1 to 456 of the family's 1533-position model. The record is from RNAcentral.